AGGACGAACGCUGGCGGCGUGCCUAACACAUGCAAGUCGAACGAAGCUCCGGAACGGAACCUCGGGUGAAGUGAAGGAAGACUAGUGGCGGACGGGUGAGUAACGCGUGAGCAACCUGCCUUUCAGAGGGGGAUAACAGUUGGAAACGACUGCUAAUACCGCAUAACGUAGCGGAGUCGCAUGGCUCUGUUACCAAAGCUGAGGCGCUGAGAGAUGGGCUCGCGUCCGAUUAGAUAGUUGGUGGGGUAACGGCCUACCAAGUCGACGAUCGGUAGCCGGACUGAGAGGUUGAACGGCCACAUUGGGACUGAGACACGGCCCAGACUCCUACGGGAGGCAGCAGUGGGGGAUAUUGCACAAUGGGCGAAAGCCCUGAUGCAGCAACGCCGCGUGAGGGAAGACGGUUUUCGGAUUGUAAACCUCUGUCUUUGGUGAAGAAGGAAGUGACGGUAACCAAGGAGGAAGCCACGGCUAACUACGUGCCAGCCGCGGC
RNAcentral lists this ribosomal RNA (493 nucleotides) under uncultured bacterium. Its description in RNAcentral is "bacterial SSU rRNA". It matches the Rfam family "Bacterial small subunit ribosomal RNA", at positions 26 to 518 of the family's 1533-position model. The record is from RNAcentral.